Long non-coding RNA from Denticeps clupeoides (denticle herring), 1083 nucleotides. The record is from Ensembl. Lineage: Eukaryota; Metazoa; Chordata; Actinopteri; Clupeiformes; Denticipitidae.
GCAGUGGGCGGCCAUGACAGGCGGCACCUCGGGGUUCAACUUCAUUAAAACCAACAUAUCUUACUCAAAUCAACAUUUCUCAUUUACCUUUGAUCAGAUUGUGAUUCUGGCCGGCCACACCCACCCUGCAGUGAUCUCGGCCAUGACCCUGAAAUUGUGGGUGUUCCUCCAGGCCGAGACGAACGGGGCUCCGUAUUCCAGCAGCAGCUUCUCGUUAUCUGCACACAGUAACAGCGGUUAGCGGCGUCGCCGCGGCCGCCUGGACACUGUGGACACUGUGGACACGGCGACGGACGGGUCCCGACCCUGCUGCAGUACAACAAAAAGUAGAACAAAAAAAAACUGUGCAGGGCUGCGAACUUCAUGAGCCUGAACGAACGCAACGUGUCAUUAAAUAAAAAAACAAGUAUUUCGACCUUCUACAGAAGUUCACGUCUGGCUUUAAACUGGACCUGGGACCCCUGAAGGAGCCGCUCGGGGUUAUUCGAGUUCUGGAGUGGGGAGGUCUCGACAAACAGCCCGUUUUGUGACCUGAAACCUGAUUGGACGAUCCGCGUCGGGCGCCGUUGGUCGGAACGGAAUUAUCGAGGGUACCGGGUCGGGAGGACACGGGGACGCGGCGAGUCGGUGUGGGGCGGCGUCCUCGGUAAUCCCCGCGGGCAGAGUCGAGUCGUGUCCAGGUGUCAUUUUUACACUCCCGUGUGUGGAAACGGGUGGCCGCUGGUGCCAUAUAAAUACCGUGUCGCUAAUAAGAGACGUAAGGCUCCCACGUAACGUGGGACACUCGACCCCCCGCGACAGCACCGCACAAGCGGGACACCUGCAGAGACGGUCCACCAUUGGUAGCAUAGUAGCAACACACUCGCCUGCGAACCAGAAGACCCAGGUUAAAAACCCACUUGCUACCAUUGUGUCCCCGAGCAGGACAACCCACACAACCAGGGGGACAGACCGCAACUAGUCUGGUAAAUGCUGUAAAUGUAGGAUUAUGACCCCACUGUGUGAUGAGUGGUGGGUUAAGGACGUGGUCCCGUAACCAGAAGGUUGCCAGUUACUGCGCUUCGUCGCUCGUUGGGAUUCCGG